CCUACGGGAGGCAGCAGUGAGGAAUAUUGGUCAAUGGACGAGAGUCUGAACCAGCCAAGUAGCGUGAAGGAUGACUGCCCUAUGGGUUGUAAACUUCUUUUAUAAAGGAAUAAAACGAGGCAAGUGUGCCUGUUUGCAUGUACUUUAUGAAUAAGGAUCGGCUAACUACGUGCCAGCAGCCGCGGUAAUAAGGAGGAUCCGAGCGUUAUCCGGAUGUAUUGGGUUUAAAGGGAGCGUAGAUGGGUUGUUAAGUCAGUUGUGAAAGUUUGCGGCUCAACCGUAAAAUUGCAAUUGAUACUGGCAGUCUUGAGUACAGUUGAGGUAGGCGGAAUUCGUGGUGUAGCGGUGAAAUGCUUAGAUAUCACGAAGAACCCCGAUUGCGAAGGCAGCUUACUAAACUGUGACUGACAUUGAUGCUCGAAAGUGUGGGUAUCAAACAGGAUUAGAUACCCGGGUAGUC
RNAcentral lists this ribosomal RNA (460 nucleotides) under uncultured bacterium. RNAcentral describes it as "partial 16S ribosomal RNA". It matches the Rfam family "Bacterial small subunit ribosomal RNA", at positions 338 to 795 of the family's 1533-position model. The record is from RNAcentral.